Molecule: ribosomal RNA, 435 nt
Filed under: uncultured bacterium
Lineage: Bacteria
Description: bacterial SSU rRNA
Rfam family: Bacterial small subunit ribosomal RNA
Source: RNAcentral
AGAGGGCUUGCUCUUAAGGUUAGUGGCGGACGGGUGAGUAACGCGUGAGCGAACCUGCCUCCGACAGCGGGAUAACAUUGGGAAACCGGUGCUAAUACCGCAUGACGCACGGACUUUGCAUGUAGACCGUGCCAAAGAAGCAAUUCGGUCGGAGAUGGGCUCGCGUCUGAUUAGUUAGUUGCGGGGUAACGGCCCACCAAGACGACGAUCAGUAGCCGGACUGAGAGGUCGAACGGCCACAUUGGAACUGAGAAACGGUCCAGACUCCUACGGGAGGCAGCAGUGGGGAAUAUUGGGCAAUGGGCGAAAGCCUGAACCCCCAGCGACGCCGCGUGGAGGAAGAAGGUCUUCGGAUUGUAAACUCCUGUCAACAGGGAAGAAGCAAGUGACGGUACCUGUAGAGGAAGCCACGGCUAACUACGUGCCAGCCGCGGC